UUAUUGUCCGUACUGAUGUGAUGGGUUCUUACCUUCUGAAUAACCAGCGUGUCAUUAAUUUGGUGUGUUGGGGAAGCAGGACUAUUACCUUGAAAAAAUUAGAGUGCUCAAAGCAGGCUAGUGCCUGAAUACAUUAGCAUGGAAUAAUAAAAUAGGACGGCAUGGUUCUAUUUUGUUGGUUUCUAGGAUCACCGUAAUGAUUAAUAGGGAUAGUUGGGGGCAUUAGUAUUCAAUUGUCAGAGGUGAAAUUCUUGGAUUUAUUGAAGACUAACUUCUGCGAAAGCAUUUGCCAAGGAUGUUUUCAUUAAUCAAGAACGAAAGUUAGGGGAUCGAAGACGAUCAGAUACCGUCGUAGUCUUAACCAUAAACUAUGCCGACUAGGGAUCGGACGAUGCUAAUUUUUUAAUGACUCGUUCGGCGCCUUACG
RNAcentral lists this ribosomal RNA (427 nucleotides) under uncultured Glomeromycotina. RNAcentral's name for it is "SSU rRNA". It matches the Rfam family "Eukaryotic small subunit ribosomal RNA", at positions 668 to 1092 of the family's 1831-position model. The record is from RNAcentral. Lineage: Eukaryota; Fungi; Glomeromycota.